UACGGGGGGGGCAAGCGUUGUUCGGAAUUACUGGGCGUAAAGGGCUCGCAGGCGGCCAACUAAGUCGGAUGUGAAAUCCCCAGGCUUAACCUGGGAACUGCAUCCGAUACUGGAUGGCUUGAAUCCGGGAGAGGGAUGCAGAAUUCCUGGUGUAGCGGUGAAAUGCGUAGAUAUCUGGAGGAAUACCAGAGGCGAAGGCGGCUACCUGGACAAUUGCUGACGCUCAGGCACGAAAGCGUGGGGAGCAAAAGGG
Molecule: ribosomal RNA, 253 nt
Filed under: uncultured bacterium
Lineage: Bacteria
Description: partial 16S ribosomal RNA
Rfam family: Bacterial small subunit ribosomal RNA
Source: RNAcentral